AGGAAAGCAGGGGAUCGCAAGACCUUGCGCUUUUGGAGCGGCCGAUGUCUGAUUAGCUAGUUGGUGAGGUAAAGGCUUACCAAGGCUUCGAUCAGUAGCUGGUCUGAGAGGACGACCAGCCACACUGGGACUGAGACACGGCCCAGACUCCUACGGGAGGCAGCAGUGGGGAAUUUUGGACAAUGGGGGAAACCCUGAUCCAGCCAUGCCGCGUGAGUGAGGAAGGCCUUCGGGUUGUAAAGCUCUUUCAGCCGGAACGAAAAGGUUACGGUUAAUACCCGUGACUAAUGACGGUACCGGAAGAAGAAGCACCGGCUAACUACGUGCCAGCAGCCGCGGUAAUACGUAGGGUGCGAGCGUUAAUCGGAAUUACUGGGCGUAAAGCGUGCGCAGGCGGUUUUGUAAGUCAGAUGUGAAAUCCCCGGGCUCAACCUGGGAACUGCGUUUGAAACUACAAAGCU
RNAcentral lists this ribosomal RNA (461 nucleotides) under uncultured beta proteobacterium. RNAcentral describes it as "bacterial SSU rRNA". It matches the Rfam family "Bacterial small subunit ribosomal RNA", at positions 200 to 642 of the family's 1533-position model. Lineage: Bacteria; Pseudomonadati; Pseudomonadota; Betaproteobacteria. The record is from RNAcentral.